AUAGCCUUGUAAAAAGACAGGAAAACAAAUUGUACUAAAAGUUAGAAAAAUAUUUUUAUCAUGAUUGUUCGAUAGAAUAAAAAUAGAGGUAAAAAAGACAACAGUAGAUUACCGGUGUUCAAAAGUCAUAAAUCCAGGUUACAAAUCUUAACCAAACCGAGGGAAACACAUCAACUACAGGAGGAAAUCAAAGUAACAACAUGAUCAUUGAAGCGCAAAAAAAA
This 224-nucleotide long non-coding RNA is filed under the name Mytilus galloprovincialis (Mediterranean mussel). Lineage: Eukaryota; Metazoa; Mollusca; Bivalvia; Mytilida; Mytilidae. The record is from RNAcentral.